This 709-nucleotide long non-coding RNA is filed under the name Lathyrus oleraceus (garden pea). RNAcentral's name for it is "Pisum sativum (pea) long non-coding RNA (PSAT_LNC008031)". The record is from RNAcentral. Lineage: Eukaryota; Viridiplantae; Streptophyta; Magnoliopsida; Fabales; Fabaceae.
AUCAAGUCCACCGGAUGCCCCUCUUCUACUUGGGACUUUGUCAUCAUGUCAUCAACAUGGCAUUCGCUUUCACGGUGAGUCAUAUCAUGGAACAAAGUCACCGUAGCCCUUUGAUCCGUGGCACCGACCUUCUUCUUCACUAGAGGAUAGUCUUCUCUCGAUGGUAGCUCGUGCCCCACAACAUUGGUAUCUCACCUUGGUGUAUCUUGAUGCAAUCAGGUGAAGAUAUCAACCUGCUCUUUCAACAGGGCUACCAUUCUGUUCUUGACUUGCCGAUGAAGCGGCCUCACUUUCGUUUCCCUUCUGACCUCGGCGGUACUUGGGAUGACAAUCUUGACCCGCUUCUCGUGCGGUUGAAUCACCUUCUCCUCUUGUUUCAACAACCUAGCUAAUUCCAGCAGAUCACAAACUUCUUCGCCUUUUUCUUCGGCAUGAUAGCUUGGAUUGUCGAAGUCAUAUAGAGGUGUAACCAAAUUGUUAUCGAUGAGAUCAGGAGGGUAAUCACUUUUGAGGUCGGAACCAAAUGAGUCAAAAGGAAAGAAAAUAAAAACAUUGCCAUUUUUAUUUUAUUUUUUAAACUGCAAAAAGUGAAAAACAGGGAGCACCGCUUUUGAUCACAAAAAUAUCCAUUUAUUACUGAUGCAAAAUGUUGCAAAAUGAAACACAUGAGAUGACCCUUACAAUGGACCAGUACGUUUCGGGCAAAACG